GGCGGCGUGCUUAACACAUGCAAGUCGAGCGGAAAGGCUUCCUUCGGGGGUACUCGAGCGGCGAACGGGUGAGUAACACGUGAGUAAUCUGCCCCUCACUCUGGGAUAACUGCCUGAAAGGGUGGCUAAUACCGGAUGCGACCGUCCCCUGCAUGGGGUGGUGGUGGAAAGGGUUUCUGGUGGGGGAUGUGCUCGCGGCCUAUCAGCUUGUUGGUGGGGUAAUGGCCUACCAAGGCUUUGACGGGUAGCCGGCCUGAGAGGGUGACCGGCCACACUGGGACUGAGACACGGCCCAGACUCCUACGGGAGGCAGCAGUGGGGAAUAUUGGACAAUGGGCGGAAGCCUGAUCCAGCAACGCCGCGUGAGGGAUGACGGCCUUCGGGUUGUAAACCUCUUUCAGCACAGACGAAGCGCCCGUUGUGGGUGGUGACGGUAUG
Molecule: ribosomal RNA, 438 nt
Filed under: bacterium Ellin5278
Lineage: Bacteria; Bacillati; Actinomycetota; Actinomycetes; Propionibacteriales; Nocardioidaceae
Description: bacterial SSU rRNA
Rfam family: Bacterial small subunit ribosomal RNA
Source: RNAcentral